RNAcentral lists this long non-coding RNA (364 nucleotides) under Populus trichocarpa (black cottonwood). Its description in RNAcentral is "long non-coding RNA (PTRI_LNC000201)". Lineage: Eukaryota; Viridiplantae; Streptophyta; Magnoliopsida; Malpighiales; Salicaceae. The record is from RNAcentral.
UUAAAGAUAUAGACGUUGAUACCUUUGUGAUAAAUCAAAAGGAAGUUUCAUAUCCAUCAUCGCCACCUCCAUUUCCUCCACCACAUCCAUCAUCAUCACCUCCAUUGCCACCAUCUCCGCCUCCUAAGCUUGUGAGGAGAAAGGUGAAGAGAACAUAUCAAGAUCUUGGAUAUGAAAAAAGAACCGAUCAUGAGGAGAAAGUCCUUGAAAACUUCUACAAUAUCCCGCCACCAUCUCCGCCGCCUCCUCCUCCUCCACCACCACCACCACCACCACCUAUAUUCAGCAAGAACGAGAAAAGGAGAGGCAAAGAUUUCUUGAUUUCACUAAGAAGAAAGAAAAAGAAGCAGAGACAAAAGAGCGU